UCUCUCCUCUCAAUCAUUGUUCCAAACACUCUUAAGAACCUAAAUGAAGAUCAUCGUCAACAAUCGUCUUGAUUGACAGUUAUUGUGGAUUUGGAAGAACGAUACACAAAAUCCCUUACAUCAAAGGUAUUUUUAUCAUUUGAGCAUUUGUUAUUUUGCUUUUUAUUACUUUGAUUUUGCAUUAGGAUGUUAUUUGUUUUGAUCGGUUACUGUCUUUUCUUUUGA
RNAcentral lists this long non-coding RNA (225 nucleotides) under Helianthus annuus (common sunflower). Its description in RNAcentral is "hypothetical non coding rna". Lineage: Eukaryota; Viridiplantae; Streptophyta; Magnoliopsida; Asterales; Asteraceae. The record is from RNAcentral.